UGUUUGAGGUGUUGUAGCUUAUCCCGUUGAUGUGAAUCCAGGGAAUGAAGGAACCAAGCUUCUUCAACGCAUGGGAGAAGAUUCUGGAUGCGGCCGAGACAUGGAAACUGUCGACGUGGAUGCAGGGGACUAUGCUCAUGGCUGAAGCAUGGGAAACAGUGGGUUUGAGAGGAUCUCGGAGGGGAAGAAUAACAUGGAAUUCAGAAGAGAUGAAGCUGGGACGGCUGGCAGUUGGGAUGCAAAUGGAUCACAGAGGAAGUGGAUGGGAUGAAUCCAGAAUGCUGGGAUGAAUCAAGGGGAGUUCGGCUGAGAUUGGUUCCGAAACAGGGGAGGAUGGCAAGUGGGUGGCUGGGAGCUUAUCCAUUGAGAAGAACGCAGCUGCUGUGAUUCGUGAUGAAGAUGAAUGAUUUAGGAGCAGGGGAUUUAAAUGAAUCAGUUGUUUCGUUUCAAUUUGUUGGGUAAUUUUGCUCUUCACGACUGAAACAAGGGAAGGUGUUUAGAUGCCGUGAAAUCUGGGACUUGGUUCCGAACGGGAGGGAGAAACGGAAUGGUUGAAUGCGAGUGGAUGUGAAGGAAACUUGAAACAAUGGUUGGGAUGUUGGGAGAUUAAGCCGGAAGAUGGGAUUUGAGUUUAUCCCAUGGAGAUGGAACCAAUCCGAGCGGGAUGAGCAUGGGAGAUUCGGCGAAGAGGAUGAGGCUGAAUCUAUAAUCGGUUGGGAGCGUGAACAGAGGAGAUGAGCUGGGGCUUUGAUCUUCAUCCAUGGAUGCGGGAAGGGAUAAGGAUGAUUACGAAUGUGAGAUUGAUCAGGAAGAAGGGAUCUCAUGCGGAUGGUGUUAGAUCACAAAAAAUCCGAAAGUGCUGGGAAAUCCGGAAGAAGACGUGGCUUUGUUCGGACGAUGGAAUCCUCACGGGGUUCGGAUAAUGAAGGGGUCCGUGGGUCUCGGCUGGGUGUGAAAGAAGUUGGGGAUCCGGUCGUGGAAGAAGGGAAUGGCUGGGGUCAGGUGAUGAUUUUUUGGGAUGAAGAUUGGUCGGUUUGGGAUGAGGAGAUUUGAAGUUAUUCGACUCGGAAGAGGGCAGAUACGUAGAGAUGCAGACACUGGGAAGAAAACGGAAUGAAGGAGCUUGGACAUGGCUCGGUUCGUGGGAGAACAAUGCGGAAGGAUGACGCGGACACGGGUUCAGCUGCAAACGCGACCUGCACACAUUAGACUCAACCAAUAAAAUUAAGCAAACUCGAAUUAUUUCUAAUAAUUUAUUAAAAUGCAAUGAUGAAG
This 1275-nucleotide long non-coding RNA is filed under the name Phoenix dactylifera (date palm). RNAcentral's name for it is "long non-coding RNA (PDAC_LNC009748)". Lineage: Eukaryota; Viridiplantae; Streptophyta; Magnoliopsida; Arecales; Arecaceae. The record is from RNAcentral.